CAAGAUACUGUGACUCAAGGU
Molecule: non-coding RNA, 21 nt
Filed under: Arabidopsis thaliana (thale cress)
Lineage: Eukaryota; Viridiplantae; Streptophyta; Magnoliopsida; Brassicales; Brassicaceae
Source: RNAcentral